This 274-nucleotide ribosomal RNA is filed under the name uncultured bacterium. Its description in RNAcentral is "partial 16S ribosomal RNA". It matches the Rfam family "Bacterial small subunit ribosomal RNA", at positions 523 to 796 of the family's 1533-position model. The record is from RNAcentral.
AUACGGAGGGUGCAAGCGUUACUCGGAAUCACUGGGCGUAAAGCGCGCGCAGGCGGCUAUUUAAGUUGGAUGUGAAAGCCUACGGCUCAACCGUAGAACUGCAUCCAAAACUAUUUAGCUAGAGUGUGGGAGAGGAAGAUGGAAUUAGUUGUGUAGGGGUAAAAUCCGUAGAGAUAACUAGGAAUACCAAAAGCGAAGGCAAUCUGCUGGAACACUACUGACGCUGAGGCGCGAAAGCGUGGGGAGCAAACGGGAUUAGAUACCCCAGUAGUCC